AAUAUUGCGCAAUGGGGGGAACCCUGACGCAGCAACGCCGCGUGAGCGAUGAAGGCCUUCGGGUCGUAACGCUCUGUCUAGAGGGAUGAUAGUGACAGUACCUCUGGAGGAAGCCCCGGCUAACCACGUGCCAGCAGCCGCGGUAAUACGUAGGGGGCAAGCGUUGUCCGGGAUUAUUGGGCGUAAAGGGUGCGUAGGCGGCCUUUUAAGUCAGAUGUGAAAGACCACGGCUUAACCGUGGGGUUGCAUUUGAAACUGGAGGGCUUGAGUAUCGGAGAGGGUAGUGGAAUUCCCAGUGUAGCGGUGGAAUGCGUAGAUAUUGGGAGGAACACCAGUGGCAAAGGCGACUACCUGGACGAAAACUGACGCUGAGGCACGAAAGCUAGGGGAGCAAAC
This 396-nucleotide ribosomal RNA is filed under the name uncultured bacterium. RNAcentral's name for it is "partial 16S ribosomal RNA". It matches the Rfam family "Bacterial small subunit ribosomal RNA", at positions 360 to 773 of the family's 1533-position model. The record is from RNAcentral.